Molecule: long non-coding RNA, 214 nt
Filed under: Linum usitatissimum (flax)
Lineage: Eukaryota; Viridiplantae; Streptophyta; Magnoliopsida; Malpighiales; Linaceae
Description: long non-coding RNA (LUSI_LNC000528)
Source: RNAcentral
CGGAGUCUGCUUCAUCAGGCAGUAACCCGUUGGGCAAGAGUACACUUGAUGGCUGUGACUCCGCAGUUCCAUACUCGCCCAUGCAAUCCACCAGCUAUAUUCAAACUUCAACGGAAAGCUCUAAAGAGCAGAACCCGUCAACGGUGAACGCAAAUAUUGCAACAGAUUGAUGCCGUGAUGAGAAAUGUUUAACUUCACAAUUCCGGAACCAAAA